Molecule: ribosomal RNA, 106 nt
Filed under: Sorex araneus (European shrew)
Lineage: Eukaryota; Metazoa; Chordata; Mammalia; Eulipotyphla; Soricidae
Source: RNAcentral
UUUUGCUGUUUCUGUCUUGGAUUCUGGCCUCAUGAGUUAAGUAAGGUAAGAGAAGGUAGAGUACUUGAAUAGGAAACCUCCAAGGAAAACCCAGGUGCCGCAGGAA